UACGGAGGAUCCAAGCGUUAUCCGGAAUUACUGGGCGUAAAGAGUUGCGUAGGUGGCAUUGUAAGUCGGUAGUGAAAGCGUGGGGCUCAACCCCAUAUACAUUAUUGAAACUGCAAAGCUAGAGGACGAGAGAGGUUAUUGGAAUUCCAAGUGUAGGAGUGAAAUCCGUAGAUAUUUGGAGGAACACCGAUGGCGUAGGCAGAUAACUGGCUCGUUCCUGACACUAAGGCACGAAAGCGUGGGGAGCAAACGGG
This 254-nucleotide ribosomal RNA is filed under the name uncultured bacterium. Its description in RNAcentral is "partial 16S ribosomal RNA". It matches the Rfam family "Bacterial small subunit ribosomal RNA", at positions 524 to 776 of the family's 1533-position model. The record is from RNAcentral.